Molecule: ribosomal RNA, 253 nt
Filed under: uncultured bacterium
Lineage: Bacteria
Description: partial 16S ribosomal RNA
Rfam family: Bacterial small subunit ribosomal RNA
Source: RNAcentral
UACAGAGGUCGCAAGCGUUAAUCGGAUUUACUGGGCGUAAAGCGUGUGUAGGUGGUUGUACAAGUCGGUUGUGAAAUCCCCGGGCUCAACCUGGGAACUGCUUCCGAGACUGCACGACUAGAGAUCGGUAGAGGGCGGUGGAAUUUCCGGUGUAGCGGUGAAAUGCGCAGAUAUCAGGAGGAACACCGGUGGCGAAGGCGGAUCUCUGGGCCUUGCCUGACGCUGAGGUGCGAAAGCUAGGGGAGCGAACAGG